GUCCGCAUGGUGCAGUGGUCUGAGCAUGGGAUCACGACUCUAGAGAUCAGGGUUCAAUUCCCAGCUUGGCCA
Non-coding RNA from Phrynosoma platyrhinos (Desert horned lizard), 72 nucleotides. The record is from the annotation of a GenBank genome assembly. Lineage: Eukaryota; Metazoa; Chordata; Lepidosauria; Squamata; Phrynosomatidae.